CUUAUGUGCAGCCACCUUUGUUCUCAUAGAUAUGAAUGAGUAGAUAGGACACGCCCCUUUGAGCUGCGUGCUACAGCGAGGCUAAGCUAGUGGGGGAAAAGUUUCAGUGCAUUCCGUUGAUGUAGACGGCGUGAAAACGGAAACAAGUAUGCCGUCUCACUGUGCUGCAUACAAUUACACACUACGUCGUACGAUUGAGACAAGGAAACUUGGAAUGACUUUUCAUAGGUUUCCCAGAGACUAUGGGUUGAGGAGGAAUUGGAAGUUUGUCGGCUUAGACCUGGUGUCAUUCCAUCAGUGUUAAACUUCCCGGCUCAUCUUGGAAGAGUACGUGCCAGAAAGACCACGACCAAGCAGCCUUGAGAUCUUAGGCAGCGUCUCCCUGAGGUCCCUCUCUAUCUCCCCACACAUCCACCAACCACUGGAACACAUCUCCAAAGUUCUGCUGGGCCAGCUCAGCUUCCCCUCAGAAGAAGUACCGCCACCUGCCAGAUGAAGGAGCCUUUUGAGAGGCAGCUGGCAUCGUGAUUGGACUGUACUUUGGUCUGUUCCAAUCCAGCUUCAGCUCCAGAGACGGCAGGCGGGACGAGUCAGCGGAGGCCGGGUGGACGAAGACCAAAGAACUACAGACUCUUCACAACCUGCUCAAACUCUUGGUACAGGACCUCACCACACGGGUCAAGAAGGUUUCCUUCUCAUUUCUACUCUGAA
Molecule: long non-coding RNA, 711 nt
Organism: Amphiprion ocellaris (clown anemonefish)
Lineage: Eukaryota; Metazoa; Chordata; Actinopteri; Pomacentridae
Source: Ensembl